This 520-nucleotide ribosomal RNA is filed under the name Salmonella enterica subsp. enterica serovar Enteritidis. Its description in RNAcentral is "bacterial SSU rRNA". It matches the Rfam family "Bacterial small subunit ribosomal RNA", at positions 1023 to 1533 of the family's 1533-position model. The record is from RNAcentral. Lineage: Bacteria; Pseudomonadati; Pseudomonadota; Gammaproteobacteria; Enterobacterales; Enterobacteriaceae.
GGAACUGUGAGACAGGUGCUGCAUGGCUGUCGUCAGCUCGUGUUGUGAAAUGUUGGGUUAAGUCCCGCAACGAGCGCAACCCUUAUCCUUUGUUGCCAGCGGUUAGGCCGGGAACUCAAAGGAGACUGCCAGUGAUAAACUGGAGGAAGGUGGGGAUGACGUCAAGUCAUCAUGGCCCUUACGACCAGGGCUACACACGUGCUACAAUGGCGCAUACAAAGAGAAGCGACCUCGCGAGAGCAAGCGGACCUCAUAAAGUGCGUCGUAGUCCGGAUUGGAGUCUGCAACUCGACUCCAUGAAGUCGGAAUCGCUAGUAAUCGUGGAUCAGAAUGCCACGGUGAAUACGUUCCCGGGCCUUGUACACACCGCCCGUCACACCAUGGGAGUGGGUUGCAAAAGAAGUAGGUAGCUUAACCUUCGGGAGGGCGCUUACCACUUUGUGAUUCAUGACUGGGGUGAAGUCGUAACAAGGUAACCGUAGGGGAACCUGCGGUUGGAUCACCUCCUUACCUUAAAGAA